Pelmatolapia mariae (spotted tilapia) is the source of this 1796-nucleotide long non-coding RNA. RefSeq lists it as uncharacterized. The record is from RefSeq and is a predicted model, not a curated record. The transcript is spliced from 6 exons. NCBI's taxonomy places the organism in Eukaryota, Metazoa, Chordata, Actinopteri, Cichliformes, Cichlidae.
CCUCUCUGCUGUGUUUCAGUCAUAAACGCUUCAUCAGAGUACUUCUUAAAUAUGAUGAAGUAAAAAACACAACAAAAUCACAAAAAACAGCAAACAUGCAUGCAAGCUUUGACUCCACAGUCCACAGCCUUGUUUUGAAGUUUGAGAGCGUGAUCCCGGCAAUACAAGCAAGCCUGGAGGUGGUUAGGACAUGAAAGUGAGUUAACUCCACUUACCGUCAUGCAUUGCGCAACUACGUUUGGUGAAAGCAGCAUGUGCUGAGGCGCUCCGCACAAACUAUGGCUCAGUGAAGCUGCGGCUCUUGACGAGAGCGCGUCGUGUCAGCAGAGACUCUGGCUGCAGCUGCCGCAGAGACCAUCGUUGCGCUGGACCCUAAGGAGGAAUCAGCAUCUUCGGAAAUAAUCGUUCUGAUUGCUUUGCUGGAUUUGCCUGGGCGUAAAUCGUUUAAUGCUGGGGCUCUUUGGACGCAUUAACGGGAUUAAUCGCGACAUUGACAAACGUGGAGAAGUUAUUAUUACUAUUGUUUUGUGUUUUUGUUUAAACGUGAUCACGAUGAUAGCAGCUGAUGGAUUGAAAACUCCAGCUAUGGAUCUUUUCGCGUGUUAUAAGGAAAUGCUGACUUCAGUCUGGGAUGAGUUUCUACUCCUGCCACAGAUUCAGCUGCUGGACAAGUCUCUUGGGAUAUUUGGGAUACACGCGUGGUCAAGUGCUGACAUUUUCAUAGAUGGUUAAUGUUAUAUGCUGAUUUCGAAAAUGAAAUCUGUAUUUGGUGGAUUUUUUAUUUUUUUUUUGCACAGUUGGAUAUCUUGGAUUAUGUUUUGGAAGCUGUGCUCCAGUGGAUGUCCAGUGAUUUGGAUAAUAUGUGCGCAUCUCCUGAUUCCGCAGUGAAGGAAUCCAAAUUCUCGAGAUAAGAGUUCAACCUUUAAUUGCAUCCUAGCGAUCUUCUGAUGAUCUCAGGUGAGCACCAAGAAGGGGCUGAGUAAUGGAAACAUGACCUCAAGAGAUUCAACAGGAUCAUACUAAAUCCCGGUUUGGACUGUUGGACCAGCAUCCUCUGAAGCAGAUGUUUGCUCCUGGCACGGCUGCCGACAACAUGAGCUCCAACACUGGCAAUCUAGCUCUCAGGAUUCAGUGAGCAGCGUGAGCUUGGAGAAGCUGUGACAUAAACGCAGCAGGAUGGUGAAUCGCGUUUUGCUGCUCAGACAUCAUGGAACAGAUCAGUCAGCCCCAUCUGGAGAAGUGCUCUAUAGAAGACUCAUAUAUUUACCAUGGUUACUUUGAUGGAUACAGCAUGUUGUUUAACUUUAUUUUUCUAAUUGAUUUUAAUAGAAAUGAUAAUUUCCUGCCAUCUAUGUAUCUUCUCUUGUUUUGCAGAUUUUAAUUACAGUGUCACUCAUUCAGUAACUUCAGCAUUUACUGUUAUUUUUGUCAUUUUUGGUAAUGUGACUGUUUUCAAAGUGGCUCUUAAAAAACUGCAUAAGAAAGUUUAUCCAGGGAGGAGCACAAAAAAUGUCUCCUACUGUGUAAAAAGACUUAAUGCACAUGUGAUUGAGAUUAAUCAGAUGAAUCACUCAGUCAGUGGAUAUGUGAUUUUCAUCUUCUUACUGCAGCGACAAAGAAGCCAUUGUCAUUAAUGUAAAACCAUGAAUUCUCCUUCUGACGCUGCAUUUUAUUGUGACACAUUGGCAGCUUCUGCUAAUUUCAGUUAAUAAUCCUGUCAAGCAGUUUAUUCUCAUUAUGAUUUAUGACUCCAUAGCUUUUGUUGUUUUUGUUAAGCCCUGUUAGCAGAAAUUAAA